RNAcentral lists this ribosomal RNA (638 nucleotides) under uncultured bacterium. Its description in RNAcentral is "bacterial SSU rRNA". It matches the Rfam family "Bacterial small subunit ribosomal RNA", at positions 607 to 1244 of the family's 1533-position model. The record is from RNAcentral.
GCUUAACUGUGGGCUUGCGGUCGAUACGGGCAGACUUGAGUUCGGCAGGGGAGACUGGAAUUCCUGGUGUAGCGGUGAAAUGCGCAGAUAUCAGGAGGAACACCGGUGGCGAAGGCGGGUCUCUGGGCCGAUACUGACGCUGAGGAGCGAAAGCGUGGGGAGCGAACAGGAUUAGAUACCCUGGUAGUCCACGCCGUAAACGGUGGGCGCUAGGUGUGGGGACUGGUUCCACGGUUUCCGUGCCGUAGCUAACGCAUUAAGCGCCCCGCCUGGGGAGUACGGCCGCAAGGCUAAAACUCAAAGGAAUUGACGGGGGCCCGCACAAGCGGCGGAGCAUGUGGAUUAAUUCGAUGCAACGCGAAGAACCUUACCUGGGUUUGACAUGCACUGGAUCGCCCUAGAGAUAGGGUUUCCCUUGUGGCUGGUGCACAGGUGGUGCAUGGCUGUUGUCAGCUCGUGUCGUGAGAUGUUGGGUUAAGUCCCGCAACGAGCGCAACCCUUGCCCCAUGUUGCCAGCGGUUCGGCCGGGGACUCGUGGGGGACUGCCGGGGUCAACUCGGAGGAAGGUGGGGAUGACGUCAAGUCAUCAUGCCCCUUAUGCCCAGGGCUUCACACAUGCUACAAUGGCCGGUACAGAG